GACCCGGGCUUCUAUAAACCCUUUGUGACAUACCUACAACUGUUGCUUCGGCGGGUAGGCCGUCCCCUGAAAAGGACGCCUCCCGGCCCGGACCGGACCCCCCGCGGGACCGGACCCGGCGCCCGCCGGAGGAUAACCAAACUCUAUUGUAACGACGUUUCUUCUGAGUGGCAUAAGCAAAAUAAUCAAAACUUUUAACAACGGAUCUCUUGGUUCUGGCAUCGAUGAAGAACGCAGCGAAAUGCGAUAAGUAAUGUGAAUUGCAGAAUUCAGUGAAUCAUCGAAUCUUUGAACGCACAUUGCGCCCGCCAGCAUUCUGGCGGGCAUGCCUGUUCGAGCGUCAUUUCAACCCUCAAGCUCUGCUUGGUGUUGGGGCUCUACGGUCGACGUAGGCCCUCAAAGGUAGUGGCGGACCCUCCCGGAGCCUCCUUUGCGUAGUAACAUUUCGUCUCGCACUGGGAUCCGGAGGGACUCUUGCCGUAAAACCCCCCAAUUUUCCAAAGGUUGACCUCGGAUCAGGUAGGAAUACCCGCUGAACUUAAGCAUAUCAAUAAGCGGAGGAA
RNAcentral lists this ribosomal RNA (563 nucleotides) under Colletotrichum kahawae. RNAcentral describes it as "eukaryotic LSU rRNA". The stretch from base 190 to 343 matches the Rfam family "5.8S ribosomal RNA". Lineage: Eukaryota; Fungi; Ascomycota; Sordariomycetes; Glomerellales; Glomerellaceae. The record is from RNAcentral.